RNAcentral lists this ribosomal RNA (596 nucleotides) under uncultured bacterium. RNAcentral's name for it is "bacterial SSU rRNA". It matches the Rfam family "Bacterial small subunit ribosomal RNA", at positions 112 to 704 of the family's 1533-position model. The record is from RNAcentral.
AAUACCUAGGAAUCUGCCUGGUAGUGGGGGACAACGUUUCGAAAGGAACGCUAAUACCGCAUACGUCCUACGGGAGAAAGCAGGGGACCUUCGGGCCUUGCGCUAUCAGAUGAGCCUAGGUCGGAUUAGCUAGUUGGUGAGGUAAUGGCUCACCAAGGCGACGAUCCGUAACUGGUCUGAGAGGAUGAUCAGUCACACUGGAACUGAGACACGGUCCAGACUCCUACGGGAGGCAGCAGUGGGGAAUAUUGGACAAUGGGCGAAAGCCUGAUCCAGCCAUGCCGCGUGUGUGAAGAAGGUCUUCGGAUUGUAAAGCACUUUAAGUUGGGAGGAAGGGUACUUACCUAAUACGUGAGUAUUUUGACGUUACCGACAGAAUAAGCACCGGCUAACUCUGUGCCAGCAGCCGCGGUAAUACAGAGGGUGCAAGCGUUAAUCGGAAUUACUGGGCGUAAAGCGCGCGUAGGUGGUUCGUUAAGUUGGAUGUGAAAUCCCCGGGCUCAACCUGGGAACUGCAUCCAAAACUGGCGAGCUAGAGUAGGGCAGAGGGUGGUGGAAUUUCCUGUGUAGCGGUGAAAUGCGUAGAUAUAGGAAGG